AUGACUUGCAGAAGGUCCGAGAGGCUAAGAUCAGCCUCAAACCAAGCAGGGUCCAAUCUAGCUGCAACGCCAUCCUUGCUCCCUGUGGCUGCCACGAUCCUUGCCGUCGGGGAUAGCCGUCAGUGCAGGAGCCUUGACCAAGCUCAACUCCGCGGUAUCCCAUUGGAAGUCGACGAGCGCAUGGAAGAAUUCCUCAUCGGAGGGAAGAUUGCACGGCUCUUGAGAAGGCUUAAAGCAGUUCUUGCACAAGAGAAACGCCACCAAAGCAUAUGCCUCGGUCUCAUUCGACAAACCGCACGCACGCACGCGCGGGCAGAGUCGAAUUCCGCCACUUGUCCCCCCAUCGUCGAAGAAGAAGAAGGAAGCAAUGGAAGCCGAGAGCUCGACCGCCGGCGCGGCGCGGCGGCGCCGCCGCUCUCCUCCGGCAACUUCCGAGAACUCUUCGACUCCGUGGACGCCUUCCUCUUCGACUGCGAGGGUGUCAUCUGGAAGGAGACAAGCUCAUCGACGGCGUUUCUCAGACUCUCGACUUGCUCCGAUCCAAAGGGAAGAAGCUGGUGUUCGUGACGAACAACUCGAGGAAGUCGAGGAGGGAGAACGCCAAAAAUUCGGUUCUCUCGGGAUUUCCGUGAGCGAGGAUGAGAUCUUCUCGUCGUCGUUCGCGGCCGCCAUGUAUCUGAAGGUCAAUGAUUUUCCUCAAGACAAGAAGGUUUAUGUGAUUGGUGGCGAAGGCAUUAUAGAGGAACUCCAGCUUGCUGGAUAUACUGGCCUUGGAGGUCCGGAAGAUGGCAAAAAGACAGCGGAGUGGAAAUCAAAUUGCCUUUUUGAACAUGACAAGAGUGUUGGAGCAGUCGUGGUUGGGCUUGACCCCUUCAUCAACUACUACAAGCUUCAGUAUGGAACUCUCUGCAUCCGUGAGAAUCCAGGAUGCCUUUUUAUUGCGACAAAUCGAGAUGCAGUAGCGCACAUGACUGAUUUACAAGAAUGGCCUGGUGCUGGGUGUAUGGUUGCAGCCAUCUGCAGUUCAACUCAGAAGGAGCCUAUAGUGGUUGGGAAGCCAUCAACCUUCAUGAUGGAGUUUUUACUAAAGAAGUUCCAAAUUGAUUGUCCCAGGAUGUGCAUGGUGGGUGAUCGAUUGGACUCCGAUAUCUUAUUUGGGCAGAAUGCUGGCUGCAAGACUCUGCUUGUUCUUUCAGGUGUGACAACUCUAUCUGCUCUUCAAGACCCGGCAAAUGAUAUUCAGCCGGAUUAUUACACAAACAAGGUGUCCGACUUUCUCGAUCUAUUAGGAGCGUGACCCUAUCAGGCGUGAUAGUCUUUCUGGCAUGUCAGACUUUCUUUGCCUGAUUAUCUAAGUCCAUCCUUUCUCCCUUUGGCUAUUGUGAAACACAGAAUACUGGCAUGAACAGCUUUCAGCUGUAUUUCUUUUUCCUUUUCUUCAAUAACCAAGUCCGGAAACAAAUUCGGUGAACUGAGAUAAAUAGAAAAUCACAUGAAAAAUGCACCGCGAAAUCUAAUUUGUA
Molecule: RNA transcript, 1523 nt
Organism: Eucalyptus grandis
Lineage: Eukaryota; Viridiplantae; Streptophyta; Magnoliopsida; Myrtales; Myrtaceae
Gene name: phosphoglycolate phosphatase 2
Exons: 12
Source: RefSeq, a predicted model, not a curated record